This 253-nucleotide ribosomal RNA is filed under the name uncultured bacterium. Its description in RNAcentral is "partial 16S ribosomal RNA". It matches the Rfam family "Bacterial small subunit ribosomal RNA", at positions 524 to 776 of the family's 1533-position model. The record is from RNAcentral.
UACAGAGGGGGCAAGCGUUAUUCGGAAUUAUUGGGCGUAAAGGGCGCGUAGGCGGCUUUGCAAGUGACGGGUGAAAGCCCUCGGCUUAACCGAGGAACUGCCUGUCAGACUGUAAGGCUUGAGACCGGGAGAGGUGAGUGGAUUUCCCAGUGUAGCGGUGAAAUGCGUAGAUAUUGGGAGGAACACCAGUGGCGAAGGCGGCUCACUGGACCGGAACUGACGCUGAGGCGCGAAAGCGUGGGGAGCAAACAGG